RNAcentral lists this ribosomal RNA (291 nucleotides) under uncultured bacterium. RNAcentral describes it as "partial 16S ribosomal RNA". It matches the Rfam family "Bacterial small subunit ribosomal RNA", at positions 333 to 622 of the family's 1533-position model. The record is from RNAcentral.
UUACCCUACGGGAGGCAGCAGUGAGGAAUAUUGGUCAAUGGGCGAGAGCCUGAACCAGCCAAGUCGCGUGAAGGAUGACGGCCCUACGGGUUGUAAACUUCUUUUGUCAGGGAGCAAUUGAGUCCACGUGUGGGCUUAGCGAGAGUACCUGAAGAAAAAGCAUCGGCUAACUCCGUGCCAGCAGCCGCGGUAAUACGGAGGAUGCGAGCGGUAUCCGGAUUUAUUGGGUUUAAAGGGAGCGUAGGCGGAAUAUCAAGUCAGCGGUAAAAAUUGGGGUCUAAACCCCGGCGU